AUUGAGAGUUUGAUCCUGGCUCAGGACGAACGCUGGCGGCGUGCUUAACACAUGCAAGUCGAGCGAUGAAGCUCCUUCGGGAGUGGAUUAGCGGCGGACGGGUGAGUAACACGUGGGUAACCUGCCUCAUAGAGGG
This 136-nucleotide ribosomal RNA is filed under the name Clostridium butyricum. RNAcentral's name for it is "partial 16S ribosomal RNA". It matches the Rfam family "Bacterial small subunit ribosomal RNA", at positions 1 to 140 of the family's 1533-position model. Lineage: Bacteria; Bacillati; Bacillota; Clostridia; Eubacteriales; Clostridiaceae. The record is from RNAcentral.